CCUACGGGAGGCAGCAGUGGGGAAUAUUGGACAAUGGGGGGAACCCUGAUCCAGCCAUGCCGCGUGUGUGAAGAAGGCCCUCGGGUUGUAAAGCACUUUCAGUGAGGAAGAACGCCUGGUGGUUAAUACCCAUCAGGAAAGACAUCACUCACAGAAGAAGCACCGGCUAACUCCGUGCCAGCAGCCGCGGUAAUAUGGAGGGUGCGAGCGUUAAUCGGAAUUACUGGGCGUAAAGCGCGCGUAGGUGGCUUGAUAAGCCGGUUGUGAAAGCCCCGGGCUCAACCUGGGAACGGCAUCCGGAACUGUCAAGCUAGAGUGCAGGAGAGGAAGGUAGAAUUGCCGGUGUAGCGGUGAAAUGCGUAGAGAGCGGGAGGAUUACCAGUGGCGAAGGCGGCCUUCUGGACUGACACUGACACUGAGGUGCGAGAGCGUGGGUAGCAAACAGGAUUAGAUACCCGUGUAGUA
RNAcentral lists this ribosomal RNA (465 nucleotides) under Vreelandella stevensii. RNAcentral describes it as "partial 16S ribosomal RNA". It matches the Rfam family "Bacterial small subunit ribosomal RNA", at positions 338 to 795 of the family's 1533-position model. Lineage: Bacteria; Pseudomonadati; Pseudomonadota; Gammaproteobacteria; Oceanospirillales; Halomonadaceae. The record is from RNAcentral.